Molecule: long non-coding RNA, 1975 nt
Organism: Oncorhynchus tshawytscha (Chinook salmon)
Lineage: Eukaryota; Metazoa; Chordata; Actinopteri; Salmoniformes; Salmonidae
Source: Ensembl
CAGACUAAACGGCUGGCCCUCAUCAACGCUCUGGAGACAAGCUAUCUGUUCGUCCUCGGGUUUAUCGACUGAGAAAGGAUGAACCUGGGACUCAUCAACGCUCUGGAGACAAGCUAUCUGUUCGUCCUCGGGUUUAUCGACUGAGAAAGGAUGAACCUGGGACUCAUCAACGCUCUGGAGACAAGCUAUCUGUUCGUCCUCGGUUUUAUCGACUGAGAAAGGAUGAACCUGGGACUCAUCAACGCUCUGGAGACAAGCUAUCUGUUCGUCCUCGGUUUUAUCGACUGAGAAAGGAUGAAACUGGGACUCAUCAACGCUCUGGAGACAAGCUAUCUGUUAGACAGUAGAAACAGUAGAACAGUAGAAAAAUAGCCAAAGACAGAACAGAAUGGGCAUGUCCCCACUGCAAUGCAAUGUAUCAUUACUAAUGGAGAACGGUAUGUUUUAACUAGGCAAGUCAGUUAAGAACAUUUAUUUGUAUUUUUAUAAUGACGGCCUACAUCGGCCAAUUGUACGCCGCCCUAUGGGGACUCCCAAUCACGUGCCUUAGACGUAAUCCAUUUCCUGACUAAUACAACCUAAAGAGUUCAAUGUAUUCUUGGUCUGACAUGAGAAAACAUACAGCUAAUGUAGCUAAAAUGUCAAGGGCAAUUCCACAGUAAGGAAAUGACACUUUGACUCAGAUUUGUUCACUUUAAAAUGUAUGCCAAACUGAUUUCAAAGUUUAACAAACCAUACAACUCUAUACACAAGGGCUUUUUAUUUUAUUUUUUAAAACAAUUUAUACAGAACAUUUCACAAAAACACAUUUUCUGGAAGAGCAAAGUUUUGGUCUUAGCUUUUUUUUUAAUGCGAAAGUCACCCAGUAAAAUACUACUACUAGUAAAAGUCUAAAAGUAUUUGGUUGUAAAUAUACUUACGUAUCAAAAGUAAAAGUAUAAACAAUUUUAAAUUCCUUACAUAAAGCAAAACAGAAAGCAUGAUUUUCUUGUUUUUUAAAUUUAACGAAUAUCCAGGGGCACACGCCAACACUCAGAUGUAAUUUACAAACAGUGUGUGUGUUUAGUGAGUCCUCCAGAUCAAAGGCAGUAGGGAUGACCAGGGAUGUUCUCUGUUUAGUGAAUCCUCCAGACCAGAGGCAGUAGGGAUGACCAGGGAUGUUCUCUGUUUAGUGAGUCCUCCAGAUCAGAGGCAGUAGAUGACCAGGGAUGUUCUCUGUUUAGUGAGUCCUCCAGAUCAGAGGCAGUAGAGAUGACCAGGGAUGUUCUCUGUUUAGUGAGUCCUCCAGAUCAGAGGCAGUAGGAAUGACCAGGGAUGUUCUCUGUUUAGUGAGUCCACCAGAUCAGAGACAGCGGGGAUGAGCAGGGAUGUUCUCUGUUUAGUGAGUCCUCCAGAUCAGAGGCAGUAGGGAUGACCAGGGAUGUUCUCUGUUUAGUGAGUCCUCCAGAUCAGAGGCAGUAGGGAUGACCAGGGAUGUUCUCUGUUUAGUGAGUCCUCCAGAUCAGAGACAGCAGGGAUGACCAGGGAUGUUCUCUGUUUAGUGAGUCCUCCAGAUCAGAGGCAGUAGGGAUGACCAGGGAUGUUCUCUGUUUAGUGAGUCCUCCAGAUCAGACGCAGUAGGGAUGACCAGGGAUGUUCUCUGUUUAGUGAGUCCUCCAGAUGAGAGGCAGUAGGGAUGACCAGGGAUGUUCUCUGUUUAGUGAGUCCUCCAGAUCAGAGGCAGUAGGGAUGACCAGGGAUGUUCUCUGUUUAGUGAGUCCUCCAGAUCAGAGGCAGUAGGGAUGACCAGGGAUGUUCUCUGUUUAGUGAGUCCUCCAGAUCAGAGGCAGUAGGGAUGACCAGGGAUGUUCUCUGUUUAGUGAGUCCUCCAGAUCAGAGGCAGUAGGGAUGACCAGGGAUGUUCUCUGUUUAGUGAGUCCUCCAGAUCAGAGAUAGCAGGGAUGACCAGGGAUGUUCUCUGUUUAGUGAGUCCUCC